UCCCUCUAAAUACCAUAGAUAAUCUUGAGUACAACAUCCUGAAACUUUGAGCUCUUUUAGAGCCCCCUCUAGUAUUUGCAAUCAACUAUGUUUGGUAUUGGGCCCAAUUAGCAGCUGCAAACUGUUGUAGUUGCAUCCAUUGUGUCACCUUUGUUCUAGAGAAGUAUUCUUCUUCGUGCAUAAAGAUGUUAGGCGUAGCAACAUUAUUUUACUUCUGGGUACCGAAUCUAUCUAUUACAUUGUAUCUAGGGCUUUCCCUGACAACAUAAGCGAUGAGAGCAUAUUUCCAUUUCUCUGUUUCACGGAUUACCUCUUUCUUCUCCAGCUGAACAACAAUUUUGCCUUCAAUUUGCUAUGGUGGGAUGUAUGUCAAUGUCGAAUGAUUCUCAGCAACACGAUUCUUCUAAAAUAAAUUAUCUCAAAAUUUCUCCUCAAUUUCCUUCCUCUUAGAAAUCGCUUCUUUUGGGGUAAGGGUUACUGUAGUUCACUGAUAUUUUGUUCUUCAACCACAAUUUUUCCAGUUCUCGAGCUACUGAACUUACCUAGAUUUAGUAUUGAUCAGUAAUUGCUUGGAGACGCUGCCAGUACGUUGGUUGGAAU
This 600-nucleotide long non-coding RNA is filed under the name Capsicum annuum. RNAcentral describes it as "long non-coding RNA (CANN_LNC018770)". The record is from RNAcentral. Lineage: Eukaryota; Viridiplantae; Streptophyta; Magnoliopsida; Solanales; Solanaceae.